CACGUAGGGCGCAAGCGUUGUCCGGAAUUAUUGGGCGUAAAGAGCUCGUAGGCGGUCUGUUGCGUCCGCUGUGAAAUCUCGGGGCUUAACCCCGAGCCUGCAGUGGAUACGGGCAGACUAGAGGUAGGUAGGGGAGAAUGGAAUUCCCGGUGUAGCGGUGAAAUGCGCAGAUAUCGGGAGGAACACCGGUGGCGAAGGCGGGUCUCUGGACAGUUCCUGACACUGAGACACGAAGGCCAGGGGAGCAAACGGG
Molecule: ribosomal RNA, 253 nt
Filed under: uncultured bacterium
Lineage: Bacteria
Description: partial 16S ribosomal RNA
Rfam family: Bacterial small subunit ribosomal RNA
Source: RNAcentral